Molecule: ribosomal RNA, 466 nt
Filed under: uncultured bacterium
Lineage: Bacteria
Description: partial 16S ribosomal RNA
Rfam family: Bacterial small subunit ribosomal RNA
Source: RNAcentral
GACGAACGCUGGCGGCGCGCCUAACACAUGCAAGUCGAACGAGCGAGAGAGAGCUUGCUUUCUUGAGCGAGUGGCGAACGGGUGAGUAACGCGUGAGGAACCUGCCUCAAAGAGGGGGACAACAGUUGGAAACGACUGCUAAUACCGCAUAAGCCCACGGUGCCGCAUGGCACAGAGGGAAAAGGAGCAAUCCGCUUUGAGAUGGCCUCGCGUCCGAUUAGCUAGUUGGUGAGGUAACGGCCCACCAAGGCGACGAUCGGUAGCCGGACUGAGAGGUUGAACGGCCACAUUGGGACUGAGACACGGCCCAGACUCCUACGGGAGGCAGCAGUGGGGAAUAUUGCACAAUGGGGGAAACCCUGAUGCAGCGACGCCGCGUGGAGGAAGAAGGUCUUCGGAUUGUAGACUCCUGUUGUUGGGGAAGAUAAUGACGGUACCCAACAAGGAAGUGACGGCUAACUACGUG